This 74-nucleotide transfer RNA is filed under the name Acidimicrobiia bacterium. RNAcentral describes it as "tRNA-Val". It matches the Rfam family "tRNA". From Rfam's summary of the family: Transfer RNA (tRNA) molecules are approximately 80 nucleotides in length. Their secondary structure includes four short double-helical elements and three loops (D, anti-codon, and T loops). Further hydrogen bonds mediate the characteristic L-shaped molecular structure. tRNAs have two regions of fundamental functional importance: the anti-codon, which is responsible for specific mRNA codon recognition, and the 3' end, to which the tRNAs corresponding amino acid is attached (by aminoacyl-tRNA synthetases). tRNAs cope with the degeneracy of the genetic code in two manners: having more than one tRNA (with a specific anti-codon) for a particular amino acid; and 'wobble' base-pairing, i.e. permitting non-standard base-pairing at the 3rd anti-codon position. Lineage: Bacteria; Bacillati; Actinomycetota; Acidimicrobiia. The record is from RNAcentral.
GGGCGCGUAGCUCAGACGGCAAGAGCGCUUCCCUUACAAGGAAGAGGUCGGGGGUUCAAGUCCCUCCGCGCCCA